Mus musculus (house mouse) is the source of this 3314-nucleotide RNA transcript. It is a transcript of the gene named solute carrier family 26, member 4, with no coding region annotated. The record is from RefSeq and is marked validated. Lineage: Eukaryota; Metazoa; Chordata; Mammalia; Rodentia; Muridae. The transcript is spliced from 21 exons.
UGCUCCAUAAAUAAAACGUCCCACCGCUUUGAGUGAGAGCUAUAAAGGCAGCAGAAAAACUGUCCCCAGGCAUUCUGGUCGGGCAGAACUCCGGAGCCCAAACAGGUGGCCGGCCGCAGGGACAGUUUGUUGCCAGCGCCGAGGACUGCGGGACGCGGACCGGCUUUCCGAAGUCGCUGCCACAGGUGGCACCCGAGGCUGCUCCCAGGUGCCCGCCGCGGGCCGUUUGCUCGCUCCGCGUUUCCGAACGUCAUCCCUCGUCGCAUCCCCUCCAGGCCGGCGGUCCUCGGGUACGCAGGCCAUGGCAGCGCGGGGCGGCAGGUCGGAGCCGCCGCAGCUCGCCGAGUACAGCUGCAGUUACACGGUGUCGCGGCCGGUGUACAGCGAGCUCGCCUUCCAGCAGCAGCGCGAGCGGCGCCUGCCUGAGCGCAGGACGCUGCGGGACAGCCUGGCGCGGAGCUGCAGUUGCUCAAGAAAGAGAGCCUUUGGUGUGGUAAAGACUCUCCUGCCCAUUCUGGACUGGCUCCCAAAAUACCGAGUCAAGGAAUGGCUCCUCAGUGACAUCAUCUCCGGAGUUAGCACUGGGCUGGUGGGUACCCUGCAAGGGAUGGCUUAUGCCCUGCUGGCAGCAGUACCUGUUCAGUUCGGUCUCUACUCUGCCUUUUUCCCUAUCCUGACGUAUUUUGUGUUCGGAACAUCAAGACACAUCUCAGUUGGCCCUUUCCCCGUGGUCAGUUUAAUGGUGGGAUCUGUUGUUCUGAGCAUGGCUCCAGAUGACCACUUUCUUGUGCCCAGCGGUAACGGAAGUGCAUUGAACUCGACCACGUUAGACACUGGAACCAGAGAUGCGGCCCGAGUGUUGCUUGCAAGCACACUCACUCUUCUAGUUGGAAUCAUACAGCUGGUGUUUGGAGGUUUGCAGAUUGGAUUCAUAGUGAGGUACUUGGCAGACCCCUUGGUUGGCGGAUUCACAACCGCUGCAGCCUUCCAAGUACUGGUCUCACAGCUAAAGAUCGUGCUCAAUGUUUCAACCAAAAACUACAACGGCAUCCUCUCCAUUAUCUACACACUAAUUGAGAUUUUUCAAAAUAUCGGUGACACCAAUAUUGCCGAUUUCAUCGCUGGGCUGCUGACCAUCAUCGUCUGUAUGGCUGUUAAGGAACUAAAUGAUCGAUUUAAACACAGAAUCCCGGUGCCCAUUCCUAUAGAAGUGAUUGUGACAAUAAUUGCUACUGCCAUUUCCUAUGGGGCCAACUUGGAAAAGAACUACAAUGCUGGCAUUGUUAAGUCCAUCCCAAGUGGGUUCUUGCCUCCUGUCCUGCCAUCUGUGGGCCUGUUUUCGGACAUGUUGGCUGCAUCCUUUUCCAUUGCUGUGGUGGCUUACGCUAUUGCAGUGUCUGUAGGAAAAGUCUACGCCACCAAGCAUGACUAUGUCAUCGAUGGGAACCAGGAAUUCAUUGCCUUUGGGAUAAGCAACGUCUUCUCUGGAUUUUUCUCCUGUUUUGUGGCUACCACUGCUCUGUCUCGAACGGCUGUCCAGGAGAGCACCGGGGGGAAGACACAGGUGGCUGGCCUCAUCUCAGCUGUGAUUGUGAUGGUUGCCAUCGUUGCCUUGGGGAGGCUUCUGGAACCCUUGCAGAAGUCAGUCUUGGCGGCCGUUGUCAUUGCCAACCUGAAAGGGAUGUUUAUGCAGGUGUGUGACGUUCCUCGUCUGUGGAAGCAGAAUAAGACUGAUGCUGUUAUCUGGGUGUUUACAUGCAUAAUGUCCAUCAUUCUGGGGCUGGACCUCGGCUUGCUAGCUGGCCUUUUAUUUGCACUACUGACUGUGGUCCUGAGAGUUCAGUUCCCUUCAUGGAAUGGCCUUGGAAGUGUCCCCAGCACAGACAUCUACAAAAGCAUCACACAUUAUAAAAACCUUGAAGAGCCUGAAGGGGUGAAGAUCCUGAGAUUUUCCAGUCCCAUUUUUUACGGCAAUGUCGAUGGUUUUAAAAAAUGUAUCAAUUCAACGGUUGGAUUUGAUGCCAUUAGAGUAUAUAAUAAGAGGCUGAAAGCACUGAGAAGAAUACAGAAACUCAUCAAAAAAGGACAACUCAGGGCAACCAAGAACGGGAUCAUAAGUGAUAUUGGCUCAUCAAAUAAUGCCUUCGAGCCUGAUGAAGAUGUGGAAGAGCCAGAGGAACUUAAUAUCCCAACCAAAGAAAUUGAGAUUCAAGUGGACUGGAACUCCGAACUCCCGGUGAAAGUGAAUGUCCCAAAGGUGCCAAUCCACAGCCUGGUGCUGGAUUGCGGAGCUGUAUCCUUCCUGGAUGUGGUAGGAGUGAGGUCAUUGCGAAUGAUUGUCAAAGAAUUUCAGAGAAUUGAUGUGAAUGUGUACUUUGCUCUGCUUCAAGAUGAUGUGUUAGAAAAGAUGGAGCAGUGUGGGUUCUUUGAUGACAACAUUAGAAAGGACAGAUUCUUUCUGACGGUUCAUGAUGCAAUCCUCCAUCUGCAGAACCAGGUCAAAUCCAGAGAAGGCCAGGAUUCCCUGCUAGAGACGGUAAACAUUUCACCUAACUCUAGUCUGAAACCCAGCUUAACCUCUGGCUUUCCGCCAGCUGUUGAAUGUCAAAGAGACCGUUUCUCCUCAGUGAAAUGAGGAUAGACACCGAUGACUGCUCAGAAGCCUCCAGGACUAAGGUCGCUCGCAUUCGGGACUGUAAAGACCCUCUUGAUCUGAUGGAGGCAGAGAUGAAUGCAGAAGAGCUCGAUGUUCAGGAUGAGGCCAUGCGUAGACUUGCUUCCUGAGAGAGGACUGCUAGACAGAACCUGGCUGUCAGCCCAGUCUCUGCAAGUGUUUUCUGCACUGACUGUUUCUUUGCACUUCAGCAGCCAUCCGCUUACUGUUACGUUGAAAUAUAAUACAGUCUGAAGCUUCUUAGGCACCACACAAGAAACACUUGUUGUUUCUGAUGCUUUAAUGCAGAAACAAGCAGCUUAGCUGCAAAAUAUCCAAAACCAGGAGAAUUAGCCCUGAGAAUUAGCAAUGUUCGGAUGUGCUGCAGUGACUCACUAUGUGCUGCUGUGACACACUGUGUGCUGGAUGCCAAAGCAGGUUUGCUGUCUGAGCCCAUAAGGGUUCCAUCUGUCUCUGUUAGGCUGGCCCAACAGCUUCUAUGGGCAGGUGAGUUAGGAAGGACUAAUCACAGAGAUUCCUGACUGACUCUGAAAUCCAUGUGUUGUGUUGACCACAGUGAGAAGAAGGAUAAGGUAGAAUUACUGUGUACUCAUUAAUGAACUUUAAAGAAAAUAAAACCAAUCUUUUAAAAAUGAUUUUA